GAGAAUGUUCCGCACCCUAACUGGUAAAGCGUACAUACAUUUUGGUCUGCUAAACCAAAGGUUGUAGGUUCGACUCCUACUAUCCCCU
Molecule: transfer RNA, 88 nt
Filed under: Okeania sp. SIO3I5
Lineage: Bacteria; Bacillati; Cyanobacteriota; Cyanophyceae; Oscillatoriales; Microcoleaceae
Description: tRNA-Ser
Rfam family: tRNA
About the family: Transfer RNA (tRNA) molecules are approximately 80 nucleotides in length.
Source: RNAcentral